Molecule: ribosomal RNA, 460 nt
Filed under: uncultured bacterium
Lineage: Bacteria
Description: partial 16S ribosomal RNA
Rfam family: Bacterial small subunit ribosomal RNA
Source: RNAcentral
CCUACGGGUGGCAGCAGUGAGGAAUAUUGGUCAAUGGUCGGGAGACUGAACCAGCCAAGCCGCGUGAGGGAGGAAGGUACAGAGUAUCGUAAACCUCUUUUGUCAGGGAACAAAGACUGGGACGCGUCCCCGGAUGAGUGUACCUGAAGAAAAAGCAUCGGCUAACUCCGUGCCAGCAGCCGCGGUAAUACGUAGGGGGCAAGCGUUGUCCGGAAUGACUGGGCGUAAAGGGAGUGUAGGCGGCUCAUCAAGUUAGAUGUGAAAUCCCGCGGCUUAACCGCGGAACUGCAGCUAAAACUGGUAAGCUGGAGUGCAGGAGAGGUGAGUGGAAUUCCUAGUGUAGCGGUGGAAUGCGUAGAUAUUAGGAGGAACACCAGAGGCGAAGGCGACUCACUGGACUGUAACUGACGCUGAGGCUCGAAAGCGUGGGGAGCAAACAGGAUUAGAUACCCCUGUAGUC